Molecule: ribosomal RNA, 424 nt
Filed under: uncultured bacterium
Lineage: Bacteria
Description: partial 16S ribosomal RNA
Rfam family: Bacterial small subunit ribosomal RNA
Source: RNAcentral
GAAUAUUGGACAAUGGGGGGAACCCUGAUCCAGCCAUGCCGCGUGUGUGAAGAAGGCCUUUUGGUUGUAAAGCACUUUAAGCGAGGAGGAGGCUACUUAGAUUAAUACACUUGGAUCGUGGACGUUACUCGCAGAAUAAGCCCCGGCUAACCCUGUGCCAUAGACCGCGGUAAUACAGAGGGUGCAAGCGUUAAUCGGAUUUACUGGGCGUAAAGCGCGCGUAGGUGGCCAAUUAAGUCAAAUGUGAAAUCCCCGAGCUUAACUUGGGAAUUGCAUUCGAUACUGGUUGGCUAGAGUAUGGGAGAGGAUGGUAGAAUUCCAGGUGUAGCGGUGAAAUGCGUAGAGAUCUGGAGGAAUACCGAUGGCGAAGGCAGCCAUCUGGCCUAAUACUGACACUGAGGUGCGAAAGCAUGGGGAGCAAACA